Lutra lutra (Eurasian river otter) is the source of this 1070-nucleotide long non-coding RNA. RefSeq lists it as uncharacterized. The record is from RefSeq and is a predicted model, not a curated record. The transcript has 3 exons. NCBI's taxonomy places the organism in Eukaryota, Metazoa, Chordata, Mammalia, Carnivora, Mustelidae.
AGGACUAUGGCAGACAGGAGAGGGUUCCACCAGCCUGCUGAAGGAGGAGACUUUGUUAAUGAGGAUGUGCAUGCAGAAAUUGUCAAGAUAGCCUCCAGAACCAGAAUGAUGAUGCAAGGGGGACAGUUCCCAAAGCAGUAACUCUGACCCAGGAUGCUGGGCAUGCUGGGGUGAAGGUAUAAGGCAAGGUUCAAAGCUACAUCUGGAACCAAGUGAAUCUGACGAUCUGGAAACUGUCAUGACUCUUAGCAUUUCCAUUCUACCAGCUAGGGGGUUUUUAGGAUCUCUCCAACCUGCCAUUGAGGUAAAUCCUGUGACUGCUUGCCUAGAGCAUGCAUUGCCUAAAGACGUUUACAGCCCAACCCAUCAGUCCAGUCCUUGAGACCAGAGGUCCCAUCUCCUAACAGAGGUCACCACCAUUCAAUAUGUGGAUGUGCACCCCUACCCUGGAGCUGCAGGAACCAAGGAAAGGAGGGAAGACUCCUAGUUUACAUCCCUUGAUAUGGUGAAAACAUCUGGGGAAGAAAGCUGGAAGAAAGAUUCAUCAUGCUCAGCCUCAGUGUCUGGAAUGGAUAACCUCUGAGAUUCCUUCCUCUUCAGACAUCCUAAGACACUAAGGUCCUGGGAAGGCUUCUGGCAGGUCCUAAACCAGGAGUGAGCAGCAGCUCACAAUCCCUGUAGUCUGGCUGCUUCUCAGGAAAAGUGGCCCCGCUGUCUAUUCUCUCCUGUUUAUGCAGGUUUAGCACUGUGCCCUGAUUUGAGAGUUCUUGGACACUGUUUCUUUGUUGGGAUAAUAACGAUCUUGACCCCCUCAGGUCAGUGGGAGCUAGUACAAGAGUCCACCUUGUGGACAGACUACCAGUAUGACAGGCACAGUGGCUCUAAUCCUGGUCCAUGUGGCAUUGUCCCCUUGGCUGACUGCCCUUCUCCCUCAGCUCCCGGCAUCAUCCCCAGGCCCCAUCUGAGCUGAGCACCUACCUAAAAGUGCAGCUGCCUGGCUCCGCCCUCCGAAGCUGCGGCUGAAGGAGCUGUGCCUGCUUGCAUAGGAGGCUGGCCGGCUAGGCAGCCAG